ACGUGUGACAAAGUAAUCAAUGACAGACAACCAAACCUUAUUAUAGUGGUUUUAGCACUAUAAAAUAUUAUAAUAUACAUUGACAGUUCAUAUUAUAAUAUUUGAUAUUAAGAACUCACUGUUCAUCUGAAUCAAGUACCAAAGAUCAAUGACCAUGUAUGGGGUUCUGUUUGUACUAAUGGUUGGUCUUGUAACUUCAGCAGUGAUAACAACUGAUGAUAAUAACAAAACAGAACAACUGUGCAUCAAAGGAGACGAGUGUAAGGGCCAGGCCAACGGGAAUUCUUUUAUUGCGAUAGGUGAUAUUAGAUAUUGCUGUCCUGUAAGACAAAAUCUUUCAUCUUCGGUAUCUAUUGAUGGUAACAUGGGUGAUAUAAAAUGCACAUGUGCCUAUGGCGAACUGGUGGAUUUUGAAUGGAGCAAGAUAUGGGCACAAUUUCAGAAUAGUAUGAAUAAUAUGUUUGAAAACAUGUGGCCCUUUAGUUAAAGUUGCCCGAAAUAAAUGAAUUAUAGUGCA
Long non-coding RNA from Patella vulgata (common limpet), 517 nucleotides. RefSeq lists it as uncharacterized. The transcript is spliced from 3 exons. The record is from RefSeq and is a predicted model, not a curated record. Lineage: Eukaryota; Metazoa; Mollusca; Gastropoda; Patellidae.